Non-coding RNA from Acanthosepion pharaonis, 97 nucleotides. The record is from the annotation of a GenBank genome assembly. NCBI's taxonomy places the organism in Eukaryota, Metazoa, Mollusca, Cephalopoda, Sepiida, Sepiidae.
UUAAAACACUGGUCCUUGACUGAUCACUGAAGUUAAGCAACAUCAAGCUUGGUCAGUACCUGAAUGGGUGACCACUUGGGAAUACCAGAUGCUGUAA